AGGUGCACAAUGCCAGGCUGUCCUGAUACACAGGGGAAUGGAGCGGUCAUGUAUCAUAUGCACACUAUCUAGGAAAAUGGGAGGAAUGUAGAGAAGCCUGGCAGCACUCCCAGACUGCUACAUCUCCUGUCCUGCACUCCAUGCUUCCAGGACUGUCCGGCUACCCUGGGCAUCAGCAGGCAAGAGCAAAAGCGGAAGAAUAAUACUCUAUGGGUCUUCAGGAAGACAUCACCAAUAGCCAAAGACAUACCGCUGUUUCGCAAUAAGACACUUCUCUCUUGCCUGUUGACCCUAUCAUAGGCAGUCUUCAAGACCGAGGGUGGGUACCCUCUCUCCAGAAGACGCAAGCAUGAAAGAAUGAGGCUAGAACAAGAGCCGAGUAACUUUUCCAUUCGUCUUUUCGAAAAUUGGAGGAAGUGGCCUGUUAGCAGAUGGCAUGCUGAUUAGUGAAGUCAAGUGCUACAUAAUCUAAUGCCACGACGGUGUAUGAGCCUCUGUAAGUAACGUCAUAUCCUCAUUCCUUCCUACGUGAACUAGCUAUGUCACAUCCUUCUGUCUAAAUAUCCUAAGCACUUCAACUUCUGCUUGUGACGCCUGCCCUCAAAUGUCACGCUAGUGAUCUAAUUUGUGCUCUGAUGUGGAAA
This is a long non-coding RNA of Hyla sarda, 644 nucleotides long. RefSeq lists it as uncharacterized. The transcript is spliced from 5 exons. The record is from RefSeq and is a predicted model, not a curated record. Lineage: Eukaryota; Metazoa; Chordata; Amphibia; Anura; Hylidae.